RNAcentral lists this long non-coding RNA (272 nucleotides) under Ananas comosus (pineapple). RNAcentral's name for it is "long non-coding RNA (ACOM_LNC024932)". The record is from RNAcentral. Lineage: Eukaryota; Viridiplantae; Streptophyta; Magnoliopsida; Poales; Bromeliaceae.
GAAGAUGAAGAAAGUGAGAAGAAUCUUCACAGUCUAACACUCUGAAGCAAUGAAGCAAGCAUGCUUCCUUAUGCUGUAUCCUCUUGUGAACUCGUAAAUCAGCGUUGUAUAAAAUAAGAAACAUCCUCUUGUGAACUCGUAAAUCAGCAUUGUAUAAAAUAUGAAAUAUCCUCUUGUGAACUCGUAAAUCAGCAUUGUAUAAAAUAUGAAAUAUCCUCUUGUGAACUCGUAAAUCAGCAUUGUAUUAAAUAUGAAAUAUGCCAUCAUGUGAG